This is a long non-coding RNA of Saccostrea cuccullata (small rock oyster), 303 nucleotides long. RefSeq lists it as uncharacterized. The record is from RefSeq and is a predicted model, not a curated record. NCBI's taxonomy places the organism in Eukaryota, Metazoa, Mollusca, Bivalvia, Ostreida, Ostreidae. The transcript is spliced from 3 exons.
CAGAGUGUCCAGACUGUUACUGAGACUCUGACAGUCUACAGAAUUUGUUUUAUCUACAAGUCAUAAUAUUGACCCAAUGGACCACGAAGUCAUAUGAUCUGAGAAGAAAAAGCUUUUGAAAAUGAUGGAAGAAUCUUCCGAUGAAUCAACAGAAAUAAUCUCCAAUGAGGAAGCUGAGUUAGCCAAGAAAAUGCAAGAGAGCGCAGAACUUUCCAAUACAGAUACAUCAACUACAAAGUUUGUUGCCAGUGUGUCAGCUCCUGCUCCACUGCCAGUAUUUAUGAGCAUUCCUGAAGCCUCUCC